GCGAGUAAUGUCGGGAACUCCAGGGAGACUGCCGGUGAUAAACCGGAGGAAGGUGGGGACGACGUCAAGUCAUCAUGGCCCUUACGAGUAGGGCUACACACGUGCUACAAUGGCGCAUACAGAGGGCGGCCAACUUGCGAAAGUGAGCGAAUCCCAAAAAGUGCGUCGUAGUCCGGAUUGGAGUCUGCAACUCGACUCCAUGAAGUCGGAAUCGCUAGUAAUCGUGGAUCAGAAUGCCACGGUGAAUACGUUCCCGGGCCUUGUACACACCGCCCGUCACACCAUGGGAGUGGGCUGCAAAAGAAGUAGGUAGUUUAACCUUCGGGGGGGACGCUUACCACUUUGUGGUUCAUGACUGGGGUGAAGUCGUAACAAGGUAGCGCUAGGGGAACCUGGCGCUGGAUCACCUCCUUAAACGAUGAU
This 423-nucleotide ribosomal RNA is filed under the name Vibrio parahaemolyticus. Its description in RNAcentral is "bacterial SSU rRNA". It matches the Rfam family "Bacterial small subunit ribosomal RNA", at positions 1121 to 1533 of the family's 1533-position model. The record is from RNAcentral. Lineage: Bacteria; Pseudomonadati; Pseudomonadota; Gammaproteobacteria; Vibrionales; Vibrionaceae.